GCGUGGGUUUGGAUUUAUGUCAGGCCCGUCCCCCUGGAUCUCUCAUAUUCCCCCAUGCCAAAGAAAAUCCUGGCCUUGAACCACUGCCUGGCCUUUGCCAAUAGGCUGUAAACACAGAAGUGGGAGGAAAAAGU
Eptesicus fuscus (big brown bat) is the source of this 134-nucleotide small nucleolar RNA. RefSeq annotates it as small nucleolar RNA SNORA42/SNORA80 family. Lineage: Eukaryota; Metazoa; Chordata; Mammalia; Chiroptera; Vespertilionidae. The transcript has a single exon. The record is from RefSeq and is a predicted model, not a curated record.